UACAUGCAAGUAGAACGCUGAAGAGAGGAGCUUGCUCUUCUUGGAUGAGUUGCGAACGGGUGAGUAACGCGUAGGUAACCUGCCUUGUAGCGGGGGAUAACUAUUGGAAACGAUAGCUAAUACCGCAUAACAAUGGGUGACUCAUGUCAUUUAUUUGAAAGGGGCAAAUGCUCCACUACAAGAUGGACCUGGAUUGUAUUAGCUAGUAGGUGAGGUAACGGCUCACCUAGGCGACGAUACAUAGCCGACCUGAGAGGGUGAUCGGCCACACUGGGACUGAGACACGGCCCAGACUCCUACGGGAGGCAGCAGUAGGGAAUCUUCGGCAAUGGGGGCAACCCUGACCGAGCAACGCCGCGUGAGUGAAGAAGGUUUUCGGAUCGUAGAGCUCUGUUGUAAGUCAAGAACGAGUGUGAGAGUGGAAAGUUCACACUGUGACGGUAGCUUACCAGAAAGGGACGGCUAACUACGUGCCAGCAGCCGCGGUAAUACGUAGGUCCCGAGCGUUGUCCGGAUUUAUUGGGCGUAAAGCGAGCGCAGGCGGUUUGAUAAGUCUGAAGUUAAAGGCUGUGGCUCAACCAUAGUUCGCUUUGGAAACUGUCAAACUUGAGUGCAGAAGGGGAGAGUGGAAUUCCAUGUGUAGCGGUGAAAUGCGUAGAUAUAUGGAGGAACACCGGUGGCGAAAGCGGCUCUCUGGUCUGUAACUGACGCUGAGGCUCGAAAGCGUGGGGAGCGAACAGGAUUAGAUACCCUGGUAGUCCACGCCGUAAACGAUGAGUGCUAGGUGUUGGAUCCCUCCGGGAU
Molecule: ribosomal RNA, 804 nt
Filed under: uncultured bacterium
Lineage: Bacteria
Description: bacterial SSU rRNA
Rfam family: Bacterial small subunit ribosomal RNA
Source: RNAcentral